GAUGAACGCUGGCGGCGUGCCUAAUACAUGCAAGUCGAGCGAACAGACGAGGAGCUUGCUCCUCUGACGUUAGCGGCGGACGGGUGAGUAACACGUGGAUAACCUACCUAUAAGACUGGGAUAACUUCGGGAAACCGGAGCUAAUACCGGAUAAUCUAUUGAACCGCAUUGUUCAAUAGUGAAAGACGGUUUUGCUGUCACUUAUAGAUGGAUCCGCGCCGCAUUAGCUAGUUGGUAAGGUAACGGCUUACCAAGGCAACGAUGCGUAGACGACCUGAGAGGGUGAUCGGCCACACGGGAAGUGAGACACGGUCAAGACUCCUACGGGAGGCAGCAGUAGGGAAUCUUACGCAGUGGGCGAAAGCCUGACGGAGCAACGCGGAGUGAGUGAUGAAGGUCUUCGGAGCGGAAAACUCGGUUAUUAGGGAAGAACAAAUGUGUAAGUAAAUAUGCAGGUCUUGACGGUACCUAAUCAGAAAGCCACGGCUAACUACGUG
Molecule: ribosomal RNA, 497 nt
Filed under: uncultured bacterium
Lineage: Bacteria
Description: partial 16S ribosomal RNA
Rfam family: Bacterial small subunit ribosomal RNA
Source: RNAcentral